Molecule: long non-coding RNA, 428 nt
Organism: Portunus trituberculatus (swimming crab)
Lineage: Eukaryota; Metazoa; Arthropoda; Malacostraca; Decapoda; Portunidae
Exons: 3
Source: RefSeq, a predicted model, not a curated record
GUGCCCGUUCAGACGUCAAAGGGGAAGGAGUGCCGCGCGUCGCUCCUGUCACACUUUACAAAUUCCCUUAAAACAACGAAUUAUAGGUACCUGUGGGGCCCAAAUCUUCACUACACCACUAUUAACACCUGCUGGAUAAUUGGUAGUGUCAGUGCAGGUGUGGGACAGGUGUGGGCAGGUGUACCGUGUGUUAGAGACGCCAGGUGUGUGUUUGACCUAAGAUUAUGUCACCUGUUCGUGUGUCUGUGUGUCUAUGUCCAUGUGGGGUGACCUGUGCCUCCCUGACCCCUGUGUGACCUCUCUGUGACCUCUCUGUGACCUAAGUAUCAUCGGAAAGGUCAAUUUUUUAAGAUUGACAGAAGAGGAAAGACAGACAGACAGACAGACAGAAUGUAAUUAAAGAAGAAGAAGAAGAAGAAGAAGAAGAA